RNAcentral lists this ribosomal RNA (903 nucleotides) under uncultured archaeon. RNAcentral's name for it is "bacterial SSU rRNA". It matches the Rfam family "Archaeal small subunit ribosomal RNA", at positions 40 to 922 of the family's 1478-position model. The record is from RNAcentral.
AGGACUAAGACAUGCUAGUCGUGUGCCUCAGCCAAAACGAGGCACGGCGCACAGCUCAGUAACACGUGGCUAACCUGCCCUUAGGACGAGAAUAACCCCGGGAAACUGGGGCUAAUGCUCGAUAGGUGAAGAACUCUGGAAUGAGUCUUCACUUAAAAGAGUCUGCGUUAUGCUCGUAGAUUUCGCUUAAGGAUGGGGCCGCGACCGAUCAGGUUGUUGGUGAGGUAAUGGCUCACCAAGCCUUUUACCGGUGCGGGCCGUGAGAGCGGGAGCCCGGAGAUGGGCACUGAGACAAGGGCCCAGGCCCUACGGGGCGCAGCAGUCGCGAAAACUUUGCAAUACACGAAAGUGUGACAGGGCUAUCCCGAGUGCCAUCCGCUGAGGAAGGCUUUUACCCAGUCUAGAACGCUGGGGGAAUAAGGAGAGGGCAAGUCUGGUGUCAGCCGCCGCGGUAAUACCAGCUCUCCGAGUGGUGUGGAUGUUUAUUGGGCCUAAAGCAUCCGUAGCUGGCUAAGUUAGUCCCCUGUUAAAUCCAACGAAUUAAUCGUUGGAUCGCGGGGGAUACUGCUUGGCUAGGGGACGAGAGAGGCAGGCGGUAUUUCCGGGGUGGGGGUGAAAUCCUAUAAUCCCGGGAAGACCACCAGUGGCGAAGGCUGUCUGCUAGAACGCGCCCGACGGUGAGGGAUGAAAGCUGGGGGAGCGAACCGGAUUAGAUACCCGGGUAGUCCCAGCUGUAAACGAUGCAGGCUAGGUGUUUGGACGGCCACGUGCCGUUCUAGUGCCGCAGGGAAGCUGUUAAGCCUGCCGCCUGGGGAGUACGAUCGCAAGAUUGAAACUUAAAGGAAUUGGCGGGGGAGCACCACAAGGGGUGAAGCUUGCGGUUUAAUUGGAUUCAACGCCGGA